Mangifera indica (mango) is the source of this 2229-nucleotide long non-coding RNA. RefSeq lists it as uncharacterized. Lineage: Eukaryota; Viridiplantae; Streptophyta; Magnoliopsida; Sapindales; Anacardiaceae. The record is from RefSeq and is a predicted model, not a curated record. The transcript has 4 exons.
AUAUUAUAAGCAAAGACAAUGCGGGAAGCAAUCGUCUCUUCGGAGACAUCCGAUAAAAUUGGAACGAUACAGAGAAGAUUAGCAUGGCCCCUGCGCAAGGAUGACACGCACAAAUCGAGAAAUGUGAUUGGCUCUGUGUUGAUGGGUCUUCUUCUUCCAUUCCAUCCAUUGAAAUUCUUUGGGCAUCAUGGAAAGAAGAUAUCGUUUGCAGUGACAUGGAUGUUUGAUUGAUUAUAUUCACUUGAGUCAGCAAAAAAAAUUAUAGGUGGCAUUUUAUAUAAUGCAUUUACAGUUGAAUGACUUGAGUUCUGUAUGAUCAAUGCAGACUGCUGAUAACCUGUGAUUAAGGCUCAGGAUGGGCAUAAUAGAGGAUGUAUCAAGGUCACGGCUUUGCAUCUUUUCUUGUGAUGAGUAUUUCAUUCAUAUCACAGAGAUCCAGCUGAUGGAUUUUGGAGGCCUGACUGUGUUUGCAAUGUCUACGACAAAUCGGUAAUGGACAUCUCCUUUAGCUAGACGAUCCAUGGCUUUGUUCACAUAACCCAUUGAAAUAACUUCAACAUCUGCUGUUAUGUUGUGUUUUGCUGCGAAGGUUAACAUAUCUUGUGUCUCCUUCAUGCCCCCUGCUGAACUUCCUGCAAUCAUUUUUCUCUCUGCAUAGAAGUUCCAUUCCCUUUUAUGUAAUGCUUGAUGAUUUCUUUCUACUAUUCUUCGAAAACAUAUUUUUUAAAAGCAAAAUGAAAUGCUAGAGUAGAUUUCAGAUCCUAAAAGUUUAUUUCCAUAAACGAAAGUUAAACAUGGAAUGAAAAAACCAUGUUAACAGCUUUCUUACCGAAAAUUAAGGGCAUAAUUGAUAACUCUGUUUGUUUCUCCAAACCAGGGCCGCUCAACAUUAUUAGUUUUCCAUUGAACUUCAAGAGAUUUAGAAAUGGCAUCAAAGGAUGAUGUGGAUAGACUGUGUCAAAGAUUCCAUCCAUUGUACCCAUAGCUGCCUGCUCCAAUGUAAAGCAGUUACAAAAAAAAUUAGACACCAGAAUGUUUUGGUUGUCAUAAAGGGUUUGCAUUAGCUUUAACUAGUCUUUUACCUGCAUUUGCUUCAAGUCAUGACUAACAAUAAAUGAAUCGGCUUUAAGAUGUUGAAUUGCCUCUCUCAUUUUGCUUGGUGAUGUGCUUAUCACUGUCACCUUCAUGCCAAACGCUUUGGCAAACUUCACUGCUAGAUGCCCUAACCCACCAAGACCAACCACACCCACAUGCAUUCCAGGCUUGUCAAGUCCAUAAAAUUUCAUGGGACUAAAGACUGUAAUCCCUGCACCAAGUAAUGGUGCCACGCCCUCUAAAGAAAGAUUUUCAGGAAUAGAAAAGGCAAAGUGUUGAUCAACAACAAAAAUAUCAGAAAAUCCUCCAUAUUUUUUAUCCCCACCAUUGUCAAAGAUUGUGGUGGUGUGCAUCCUUUUAGGGCAAUAGUUUUCCAAGUCAUUUUGGCACUGAUCACAGCUGCCACAUGAGCCUAUUAGGCCUCCCACUCCUGCCUUAUCUCCUAAUUUGAAAUUUCGCACUUUGGUCCCCACUUGAGUUACCACACCAACAAUCUCAUGCCUGCGAGACACAAAGCAAUAAAUCAAAUUGGGUAUGAUUUUAGAAGACAAUUUGGAGAAUGGAUUGUGUUUUAAGAACAUUAAUAUACCCAGGAACAAUAGGAUAGGAGGAAAUUCCGAGAUCGUUCCUAAUUAAGUGCAAGUCAGAAUGACGAAUCCCACAAUAUAGAAUCUUUAUUGUAAUAUCAUUCUGACCAUUUACCCUGCAUUAGCAACAGAAAUCAUACCUGUUUGGGGUUAAAUUCAUAGAAACACAAAGAAGAAUGAGGGCAUUAAUGUACCUCUAGUGAAAUGGAAAGGGUGGAGAAUUCCUGAAGAAUCUGUAGCUGCCCAUCCAAAGGCAAUUUGAUGAGAUUGCUCUUCUUGCAAUUCUGACAUGUUGUGUUAGAGAUUUGAAUAUUCAGUAAUAAAUUUCAAUCUGGUUUAUUAGUCCUCUAUAUUUUGUUGGACUCUCUUAUUUAUAAUCUAAUUUUCAAGAAAAGUAAUGUCAUGGCUGAGGUUUGCUCUUGGUCAAAAUAUUUGUUUUAAAUUGCUUGUACUUGGAAUGGAUGGUGGAAAUGGCGGCUAGUUUGCCUCUUUUACAAGAAAUAUUUACUAAAGGUCUGAGAUGUGCAAGCUGAUUACAGUUUUUUCA